This 506-nucleotide ribosomal RNA is filed under the name uncultured bacterium. RNAcentral describes it as "partial 16S ribosomal RNA". It matches the Rfam family "Bacterial small subunit ribosomal RNA", at positions 30 to 523 of the family's 1533-position model. The record is from RNAcentral.
AUUGAACGCUGGCGGCAGGCCUAACACAUGCAAGUCGAACGGUAACAGGAAGCAGCUUGCUGCUUCGCUGACGAGUGGCGAACGGGUGAGUAAUGUCUGAGAAACUGCCUGAUGGAGGGGGAUAACUACUGGAAACGGUAGCUAAUACCGCAUAAUGUCGCAAGACCAAAGAGGGGGACCUUCGGGCCUCUUGCCAUCGGAUGUGCCCAGAUGGGAUUAGCUUGUUGGUGGGGUAACGGCUCACCAAGGCGACGAUCCCUAGCUGGUCUGAGAGGAUGACCCGCCACACUGGAACUGAGACACGGUCCAGACUCCUACGGGAGGCAGCAGUGGGGAAUAUUGCACAAUGGGCGCAAGCCUGAUGCAGCCAUGCCGCGUGUAUGAAGAAGGCCUUCGGGUUGUAAAGUACUUUCAGCGGGGAGGAAGGGAGUAAAGUUAAUACCUUUGCUCAUUGACGUUACCCGCAGAAGAAGCACCGGCUAACUCCGUGCCAGCCGCCGCCGUAA